This is a long non-coding RNA of Aedes albopictus (Asian tiger mosquito), 1106 nucleotides long. RefSeq lists it as uncharacterized. The record is from RefSeq and is a predicted model, not a curated record. The transcript is spliced from 2 exons. Lineage: Eukaryota; Metazoa; Arthropoda; Insecta; Diptera; Culicidae.
UGGUUCAAUGAGGAGUGCAGAGCGGUUCUGGAGGAGAUGAUGCAGCGCGGGCGGUAAUGCUGCAGCAUGGAACCCGACAGACUGGCUUAUUCUGCUCGGCGUGCGACGUAACAAAAGUCGUGUCGCAUGUGUCACCCGAUUCCCGUAGGCGGAUGCGGUGACAAGAGUCGGUGUGGGUGAACACCGAUGAACUCUCACUGCAUUCCCACAGUCGCUUCAGAUCGACAAAUGUCGCAUUCAAGUGACGUUUUGAUGUGAGGAUUGUCGUGACCUCGGGAGGAGUCGACUGCGAAGGAAAAACAUCAAAUUGGAGAAUGUGAUUGACCAAAAUAUGCAAAAAGGGACCUAUUUCUCAAGCUACCGCCGAGCAGUUGAAAAUCUCAACAGUUACCAUGAUUCUCCGGCGCAUGUUUCCGGCUUGAUUUCGGUGCAGAAGACGACCUUCUAUAUGCUUCUUGUGUGGCAAAGUGGCAUUGGAAAAUAUCGGGUACCUAGAGUGCAAAUUGUCGUCGCGGUUAAAACCGAAGUUUCCCCGCACGCGAAAAUUGUUUUUUUCUCCCAAACCGUGCGUCAGGCAAAGUGCGCUGGAUAGAGGGCCAAAUCCGCUGCCCCGCGCACUGGCACUACGUGCGACGUUAGGUUUCACGUAUGGAUUUGAAGAAAACUCGAUUGUCGCGUGUGAGGAACUUAGGUUUCAACCGCGACGACAAUUUGCACUCUACCCGAUAUUUUUCAAUGCCACUUGCCACACCAGAAGCAUAGAAGGUCGUCUUCCACCGAAACCAAUCCGGAAACAUGCGCCGGAGAAUCAUGGUAACUAUCAAGGCCAUUUUGAACUCACUGGCAGUUUUUGAAAAGAACAUCUGCUUUUAUGGAAAUUGAAAAGCUGCACCUCGAUUACCCUGGAUUAUUUUGUGCUUCAUAUAGAGUAUUCCCUUCACCAUAACCGCCCACCCGGAUCUAAACAUUUUCAGAAAAAAAAUGAUAUCCCUUAAAACAUUUUCUUCGAAAAUUGGAUAUGCUGUUAUAAUAAAUAUAAACAUGAAAUGAAAUACAUAUACAAAUUGAGGUUAUUUCAGUUUAAUGAGAAGCAACUUAGCGUCAUA